UUAAGCGACUAAGCGUACACGGUGGAUGCCCUGGCAGUCAGAGGCGAUGAAGGACGUGCUAAUCUGCGAUAAGCGUCGGUAAGGUGAUAUGAACCGUUAUAACCGGCGAUUUCCGAAUGGGGAAACCCAGUGUGUUUCGACACACUAUCAUUAACUGAAUCCAUAGGUUAAUGAGGCGAACCGGGGGAACUGAAACAUCUAAGUACCCCGAGGAAAAGAAAUCAACCGAGAUUCCCCAAGUAGCGGCGAGCGAACGGGGAGCAGCCCAGAGCCUGAAUCAGUGUGUGUGUUAGUGGAAGCGUCUGGAAAGGCGCGCGAUACAGGGUGACAGCCCCGUACACAAAAAUGCACAUGCUGUGAGCUCGAUGAGUAGGGCGGGACACGUGGUAUCCUGUCUGAAUAUGGGGGGACCAUCCUCCAAGGCUAAAUACUCCUGACUGACCGAUAGUGAACCAGUACCGUGAGGGAAAGGCGAAAAGAACCCCGGCGAGGGGAGUGAAAAAGAACCUGAAACCGUGUACGUACAAGCAGUGGGAGCACGCUUAGGCGUGUGACUGCGUACCUUUUGUAUAAUGGGUCAGCGACUUAUAUUCUGUAGCAAGGUUAACCGAAUAGGGGAGCCGAAGGGAAACCGAGUCUUAACUGGGCGUUAAGUUGCAGGGUAUAGACCCGAAACCCGGUGAUCUAGCCAUGGGCAGGUUGAAGGUUGGGUAACACUAACUGGAGGACCGAACCGACUAAUGUUGAAAAAUUAGCGGAUGACUUGUGGCUGGGGGUGAAAGGCCAAUCAAACCGGGAGAUAGCUGGUUCUCCCCGAAAGCUAUUUAGGUAGCGCCUCGUGAAUUCAUCUCCGGGGGUAGAGCACUGUUUCGGCAAGGGGGUCAUCCCGACUUACCAACCCGAUGCAAACUGCGAAUACCGGAGAAUGUUAUCACGGGAGACACACGGCGGGUGCUAACGUCCGUCGUGAAGAGGGAAACAACCCAGACCGCCAGCUAAGGUCCCAAAGUCAUGGUUAAGUGGGAAACGAUGUGGGAAGGCCCAGACAGCCAGGAUGUUGGCUUAGAAGCAGCCAUCAUUUAAAGAAAGCGUAAUAGCUCACUGGUCGAGUCGGCCUGCGCGGAAGAUGUAACGGGGCUAAACCAUGCACCGAAGCUGCGGCAGCGACGCUUAUGCGUUGUUGGGUAGGGGAGCGUUCUGUAAGCCUGCGAAGGUGUGCUGUGAGGCAUGCUGGAGGUAUCAGAAGUGCGAAUGCUGACAUAAGUAACGAUAAAGCGGGUGAAAAGCCCGCUCGCCGGAAGACCAAGGGUUCCUGUCCAACGUUAAUCGGGGCAGGGUGAGUCGACCCCUAAGGCGAGGCCGAAAGGCGUAGUCGAUGGGAAACAGGUUAAUAUUCCUGUACUUGGUGUUACUGCGAAGGGGGGACGGAGAAGGCUAUGUUGGCCGGGCGACGGUUGUCCCGGUUUAAGCGUGUAGGCUGGUUUUCCAGGCAAAUCCGGAAAAUCAAGGCUGAGGCGUGAUGACGAGGCACUACGGUGCUGAAGCAACAAAUGCCCUGCUUCCAGGAAAAGCCUCUAAGCAUCAGGUAACAUCAAAUCGUACCCCAAACCGACACAGGUGGUCAGGUAGAGAAUACCAAGGCGCUUGAGAGAACUCGGGUGAAGGAACUAGGCAAAAUGGUGCCGUAACUUCGGGAGAAGGCACGCUGAUAUGUAGGUGAAGUCCCUCGCGGAUGGAGCUGAAAUCAGUCGAAGAUACCAGCUGGCUGCAACUGUUUAUUAAAAACACAGCACUGUGCAAACACGAAAGUGGACGUAUACGGUGUGACGCCUGCCCGGUGCCGGAAGGUUAAUUGAUGGGGUCAGCGCAAGCGAAGCUCUUGAUCGAAGCCCCGGUAAACGGCGGCCGUAACUAUAACGGUCCUAAGGUAGCGAAAUUCCUUGUCGGGUAAGUUCCGACCUGCACGAAUGGCGUAAUGAUGGCCAGGCUGUCUCCACCCGAGACUCAGUGAAAUUGAACUCGCUGUGAAGAUGCAGUGUACCCGCGGCAAGACGGAAAGACCCCGUGAACCUUUACUAUAGCUUGACACUGAACAUUGAGCCUUGAUGUGUAGGAUAGGUGGGAGGCUUGGAAGUGUGGACGCCAGUCUGCAUGGAGCCGACCUUGAAAUACCACCCUUUAAUGUUUGAUGUUCUAACGUUGACCCGUAAUCCGGGUUGCGGACAGUGUCUGGUGGGUAGUUUGACUGGGGCGGUCUCCUCCUAAAGAGUAACGGAGGAGCACGAAGGUUGGCUAAUCCUGGUCGGACAUCAGGAGGUUAGUGCAAUGGCAUAAGCCAGCUUGACUGCGAGCGUGACGGCGCGAGCAGGUGCGAAAGCAGGUCAUAGUGAUCCGGUGGUUCUGAAUGGAAGGGCCAUCGCUCAACGGAUAAAAGGUACUCCGGGGAUAACAGGCUGAUACCGCCCAAGAGUUCAUAUCGACGGCGGUGUUUGGCACCUCGAUGUCGGCUCAUCACAUCCUGGGGCUGAAGUAGGUCCCAAGGGUAUGGCUGUUCGCCAUUUAAAGUGGUACGCGAGCUGGGUUUAGAACGUCGUGAGACAGUUCGGUCCCUAUCUGCCGUGGGCGCUGGAGAACUGAGGGGGGCUGCUCCUAGUACGAGAGGACCGGAGUGGACGCAUCACUGGUGUUCGGGUUGUCAUGCCAAUGGCACUGCCCGGUAGCUAAAUGCGGAAGAGAUAAGUGCUGAAAGCAUCUAAGCACGAAACUUGCCCCGAGAUGAGUUCUCCCUGACUCCUUGAGAGUCCUGAAGGAACGUUGAAGACGACGACGUUGAUAGGCCGGGUGUGUAAGCGCAGCGAUGCGUUGAGCUAACCGGUACUAAUGAACCGUGAGGCUUAACCU
Molecule: ribosomal RNA, 2901 nt
Filed under: Escherichia coli
Lineage: Bacteria; Pseudomonadati; Pseudomonadota; Gammaproteobacteria; Enterobacterales; Enterobacteriaceae
Description: bacterial LSU rRNA
Rfam family: Bacterial large subunit ribosomal RNA
Source: RNAcentral